RNAcentral lists this ribosomal RNA (320 nucleotides) under uncultured Vibrio sp. RNAcentral's name for it is "bacterial SSU rRNA". It matches the Rfam family "Bacterial small subunit ribosomal RNA", at positions 30 to 334 of the family's 1533-position model. The record is from RNAcentral. Lineage: Bacteria; Pseudomonadati; Pseudomonadota; Gammaproteobacteria; Vibrionales; Vibrionaceae.
AUUGAACGCUGGCGGCAGGCCUAACACAUGCAAGUCGAGCGGAAACGAGUUAUCUGAACCUUCGGGGAACGAUAACGGCGUCGAGCGGCGGACGGGUGAGUAAUGCCUAGGAAAUUGCCCUGAUGUGGGGGAUAACCAUUGGAAACGAUGGCUAAUACCGCAUGAUGCCUACGGGCCAAAGAGGGGGACCUUCGGGCCUCUCGCGUCAGGAUAUGCCUAGGUGGGAUUAGCUAGUUGGUGAGGUAAGGGCUCACCAAGGCGACGAUCCCUAGCUGGUCUGAGAGGAUGAUCAGCCACACUGGAACUGAGACACGGUCCAG